GGAUGGACCCGCGUCUGAUUAGCUAGUUGGUAAGGUAACGGCCCACCAAGGCGACGAUGCAUAGCCGGCCUGAGAGGGCGGACGGCCACAUUGGGACUGAGACACGGCCCAAACUCCUACGGGAGGCAGCAGUAGGGAAUUUUCGUCAAUGGGGGGAACCCUGAACGAGCAAUGCCGCGUGAGUGAAGAAGGUCUUCGGAUCGUAAAGCUCUGUUGUAAGAGAAAAACGACAUUCAUAGGGAAUGAUGAGUGAGUGAUGGUAUCUUACCAGAAAGUCACGGCUAACUACGUGCCAGCAGCCGCGGUAAUACGUAGGUGGUGAGCGUUAUCCGGAAUGAUUGGGCGUAAAGGGUGCGUAGGUGGCAGAACAAGUCUGGAGUAAAAGGUAUGGGCUCAACCCGUACUGGCUCUGGAAACUGUUCAGCUAGAGAACAGAAGAGGACGGCGGAACUCCAUGUGUAGCGGUAAAAUGCGUAGAUAUAUGGAAGAACACCGGUGGCGAAGGCGGCCGUCUGGUCUGUUGCUGACACUGAAGCACGAAAGCGUGGGGAGCAAAUAGGAUUAGAUACCCUAGUAGUCCACGCCGUAAACGAUGAGAACUAGGUGUUGGGGGAAUAACUCAGUGCCGCAGUUAACGCAAUAAGUUCUCCGCCUGGGGAGUAUGCACGCAAGUGUGAAACUCAAAGGAAUUGACGGGGGCCCGCACAAGCGGUGGAGUAUGUGGUUUAAUUCGAAGCAACGCGAAGAACCUUACCAGGCCUUGACAUCCCUUGCAGAGGUAUAGAGAUAUAUCCGAGGUUAUCAAGGAGACAGGUGGUGCAUGGUUGUCGUCAGCUCGUGUCGUGAGAUGUUGGGUUAAGUCCCGCAACGAGCGCAACCCUUGUGAUAUGUUACUAACAUUGAGUUGAGGACUCAUAUCAGACUGCCGGUGAUAAACCGGAGGAAGGUGGGGAUGACGUCAAAUCAUCAUGCCCCUUAUGGCCUGGGCUACACACGUACUACAAUGGCGUCUACAAAGAGCGGCAAGCCUGUGAAGGCAAGCGAAUCUCAUAAAGGACGUCUCAGUUCGGAUUGAAGUCUGCAACCCGACUUCAUGAAGCUGGAAUCGCUAGUAAUCGCGAAUCAGCAUGUCGCGGUGAAUACGUUCUCGGGCCUUGCACUCACCGCCCGUCAA
This 1174-nucleotide ribosomal RNA is filed under the name uncultured bacterium. RNAcentral describes it as "bacterial SSU rRNA". It matches the Rfam family "Bacterial small subunit ribosomal RNA", at positions 223 to 1400 of the family's 1533-position model. The record is from RNAcentral.